Long non-coding RNA from Leopardus geoffroyi (Geoffroy's cat), 146 nucleotides. RefSeq lists it as uncharacterized. The record is from RefSeq and is a predicted model, not a curated record. The transcript has 2 exons. Lineage: Eukaryota; Metazoa; Chordata; Mammalia; Carnivora; Felidae.
AAACUCUAAGUAGAGACAGGCAAGGAAGGUGUACUUGGGAAUCGUAUGAAAGUGGAAGGUGCAUGUUGGGAAAUAACAUGAGAAAAGCCUGAGGAAGCAUGAGGAAAAGUAGACAGGCUGAGUGCAGCAUGAAGACAUUAUUUUUU